This 252-nucleotide ribosomal RNA is filed under the name uncultured bacterium. RNAcentral describes it as "partial 16S ribosomal RNA". It matches the Rfam family "Bacterial small subunit ribosomal RNA", at positions 524 to 776 of the family's 1533-position model. The record is from RNAcentral.
UACGGAGGAUGCGAGCGUUAUCCGGAUUUAUUGGGUUUAAAGGGUGCGUAGGCGGGCUUUUAAGUCAGCGGUAAAAAUUCGGGGCUCAACCCCGUCCGGCCGUUGAAACUGGGGGCCUUGAGUGGGCGAGAAGAAGGCGGAAUGCGUGGUGUAGCGGUGAAAUGCAUAGAUAUCACGCAGAACCCCGAUUGCGAAGGCAGCAUGCCGGCUUCCUACUGACGCUGAAGCACGAAAGCGUGGGGAUCGAACAGG